Molecule: long non-coding RNA, 537 nt
Organism: Saccostrea cuccullata (small rock oyster)
Lineage: Eukaryota; Metazoa; Mollusca; Bivalvia; Ostreida; Ostreidae
Exons: 2
Source: RefSeq, a predicted model, not a curated record
UGUGCUCAGGUGAGCUCUGUGGCCCCUGGGCCUCUUGUUAUUGACUUACUAGCCAAAGUUUCGAAAUCUUUUUUCCUUGAACAAACUCUUUUAAAUGUAGAUGAAGUAAUUCUGUGUUUUCUUGCUGAAUUCCAGUAGGGAUUUUUAGACUGUUCGAUUGUAUUUUGUUCGAUGUCGUCAGAAUCAGUUUUUGACACGGCAAGUCCAUCAUAAACAUUUUGUUCACCCAGCUUUAGAGCUGUAUUAAAAGUUUGAUCAAGAAUAGGUAAAUUAUAACCAGGAAAAGUAGGAAACGCAGGAUUGUUUAUAAUUGUAUCGUUACUUUCGUCAAUUUUCUUUUGCUGAUAAGAAAGAAGGGAACCUUUAGGCACUGGUCCAACUUUUGAUUCAAUGGUCUCAAUGGAAUUAAUUUUGGAGGAAGGUGGCAGUAUGGUUUUAAAUUGAGCAUUUGUUGCCAUUAUAUUUUGAUUGAGAGAUUCCAAAAUGUUCUGAUAUGGUAUAGGUUGCUGUAUUGGACAAUAAAAUUUUGAUUUCACA